AGCAAGGACUAACCCCUGUACCUUCUGCAUAAUGAAUUAACUAGAAAUAACUUUGCAAAGAGAACCAAAGCUAAGACCCCCGAAACCAGACGAGCUACCUAAGAACAGCUAAAAGAGCAUACCCGUCUAUGUAGCAAAAUAGUGGGAAGAUUCAUAGGUAGAGGCGACAAACCUACCGAGUCUGGUGAUAGCUGGUUGUCCAAGAUAGAAUCUUAGUUCAACUUUAAAUUUACCCACAGAACCCUCCAAAUCCCCCUGUAAAUUUAACUGUUAGUCCAAAGAGGAACAGCUCUUUGGACACUAGGAAAAAACCUUGUAAAGAGAGUAAAAAAUUUAAUACCCAUAGUAGGCCUAAAAGCAGCCACCAAUUAAGAAAGCGUUCAAGCUCAACACCUAUCAUCCGAAAAAUCCCAAACAUAUGACUGAACUCCUUGCACCCAAUUGGACCAAUCUAUUACCUUAUAGAAGAACUAACGUUGGUAUAAGUAACAUGAAAGCAUUCUCCUCCACAUAAGCCUACAUCAGACCAAAAUAUUAAACUGACAAUUAACAGCCUAAUAUCUACAACCAACCAACAAGCCAUUAUUACCCCCACUGUUAACCCAACACAGGCAUGCCCACAAGGAAAGGUUAAAAAAAGUAAAAGGAACUCGGCAAACCUUACCCCACCUGUUUACCAAAAACAUCACCUCUAGCAUUAUCAGUAUUAGAGGCACCCCUGCCCGGUGACAUAUGUUUAACGGCCGCGGUACCCUAACCGUGCAAAGGUAGCAUAAUCACUUGUUCCUUAAAUAGGGACUUGUAUGAAUGGCUCCACGAGGGUUCAGCUGUCUCUUACUUUCAACCAGUGAAAUUG
This 856-nucleotide non-coding RNA is filed under the name Homo sapiens (human). RNAcentral describes it as "Bacterial large subunit ribosomal RNA". It matches the Rfam family "Bacterial large subunit ribosomal RNA", at positions 584 to 2044 of the family's 2925-position model. Lineage: Eukaryota; Metazoa; Chordata; Mammalia; Primates; Hominidae. The record is from Rfam by way of RNAcentral.